RNAcentral lists this unclassified non-coding RNA (230 nucleotides) under Rhizophagus sp. (in: glomeromycetes). RNAcentral's name for it is "partial contains 5.8S ribosomal RNA and internal transcribed spacer 2". The stretch from base 1 to 71 matches the Rfam family "5.8S ribosomal RNA", at positions 84 to 154 of the family's 154-position model. The record is from RNAcentral. Lineage: Eukaryota; Fungi; Glomeromycota; Glomeromycetes; Glomerales; Glomeraceae.
GUGAAUCAUCAAAUUUUUGAACGCAAAUUGCGCUUCCUAGCAUCCCGGGAAGUAUGCCUGUUUGAGGGUUAGUAUUAACAAAAAAAUAGUUUAGGUUGCAAAUUGUGACGUUUCCGGAGUUUGGGCUAUCUUAACUUCUUUUGUUAAGGCGCUUAAAAUUCACCUUUUUUGCGCAUUUUUAGACUUACAUAAAUUUUUUUUUAAUCGUCUAAUCUUAAUGCCAAAAUCUU